RNAcentral lists this ribosomal RNA (497 nucleotides) under uncultured bacterium. RNAcentral describes it as "partial 16S ribosomal RNA". It matches the Rfam family "Bacterial small subunit ribosomal RNA", at positions 28 to 507 of the family's 1533-position model. The record is from RNAcentral.
GAUGAACGCUGGCGGCGUGCCUAAUACAUGCAAGUCGAGCGAACGGACGAGAAGCUUGCUUCUCUGAUGUUAGCGGCGGACGGGUGAGUAACACGUGGAUAACCUACCUAUAAGACUGGGAUAACUUCGGGAAACCGUAGCUAAUACCGGAUAAUAUUUUGAACAGCAUGGUUCAAAAGUGAAAGACGGUCUUGCUGUCACUUAUAGAUGGAUCCGCGCUGCAUUAGCUAGUUGGUAAGGUAACGGCUUACCAAGGCAACGAUGCAUAGCCGACCUGAGAGGGUGAUCGGCCACACGGGAACGGAGACACGGUCCAGACUCCUACGGGAGGCAGCAGUAGGGAAUCUUCCGCAAUGGGCGAAAGCCUGACGGAGCAACGCCGCGUGAGUGAUGAAGGUCUUCGGAUCGUAAAACUCUGUUAUUAGGGAAGAACAUAUGUGUAAGUAACUGUGCACAUCUUGACGGUACCUAAUCAGAAAGCCACGGCUAACUACGUG